UGUGUCCUUAUUACGUGCCAGAACUUUAUUUACAGUUAAAGAAACAGGCCAAACAGGGAAGGGUUAAGCCCAGAGUCGCACAGAGGGGAAGGGUGGGAUUUGAACUCCCUUUUGGAGGAAUUAGGCGUUGUCACUGGACUCGCUGUGUGUGGGACCUUGGCCAGAUGACAGCGCUUCCCCGAGCCUCGGUUUGCUGGCAUUUUGUUGUCUGUUGCUCAGAGGCUCGGUGGCAAAUUGUUUGCACGUUUCGAUUGGGAGUGAUUCCUCAUUCCGGCAGCAGAGGGAGGCCUGGUUCCUCGCGCUGUCAACAUUCAGGAUGCCACCUGUUAGCUGAUGGACCCAGGACAGAACCGCACGGUGCGCAGGGUGUGUAUGGCUGGGGAAGCGACCAAGGGCUGUGGAACCCUCGCCGCGCCAAUUCAGCACUGCCCGACCUCACAGGACGCGACCGCCAGGACCCACAGGGACCGCCGUCCCCACCACCGCCCCACUCACCCAGGCCGCCAUCUGCAGCUCUCCGCCGAGGGUGACCGGAGUAGGAGUAAUAGUGGGACCCGCCUUUGACGACCGAGGGCGACAGUGGCCCCGGGCUGCUGAGGGCCAGCUCGCUGGGCAGGAAGCUGGCCUGAGGGAGGGGGAGGGUUAGCAGCCGGUCCCCUGCCCAGCCCCCAGGCCAUUCUGGUUUAAAACAACAAAGGCAAGAGCAAGGGCCCAGGCCAAUGGCAGGGUCCUGGGGUGACAGUGACCUGGGGCAUAGGUCCCUCCCUGCUGACACCGCUGGUGUUUCUCUUAUCUAAGAUACCACCGAUUCAUUUUCAUGAAGGAAAAAGAUGAGGAGAGAAACACCGUCAAGCCUGAAGAUGUGUUGCUGUCUGGGCGCGAAACGGGCACAACUAUGCUUCAGGUGUCAAGGGAAUCUGUGUGUUUUACUUCGUACGUAUCCCCCCCCGCCUUUUUUUUUAAGGUAAACGGUUUAAUCUCGCA
Long non-coding RNA from Aethalodelphis obliquidens (Pacific white-sided dolphin), 984 nucleotides. RefSeq lists it as uncharacterized. The record is from RefSeq and is a predicted model, not a curated record. The transcript has 2 exons. Lineage: Eukaryota; Metazoa; Chordata; Mammalia; Artiodactyla; Delphinidae.